ACCUCGCGGCAGUGGACAGAUACUCCGGGUGGCUGUUUGUCGCCGACCUCGGUGUAAGCGCCCCCGCUUACACCGGUCCGAAGGACGAUAGAAGGCGUCAUGACGAGCGCACUCGCUACGCGACUUAGCGUAAAUGGACGGCACGGGAAAAGGGCUUUCGGCGGUACCCGGCUUUUUGAUGUCGUGUUCAGAGCCGUGCGGCGGAACGGGCUUACCCAGGACACCAACAACGGCCAGCUGGAGGUGGCGCCACGAAAGUGGUUUACGGGUGCCAGGAACCGCGACGGAGGCCGCCAGGAGAGGACACCAGCUGGAGUUUAAGCGGAGGAGCAGAUGAGAGAAGAAGUCUAGAGAUGAACAGAAGAGAGGAGAGAGUUUAAACAGCAUUUUUGUGUUUAUCGAUAAUAUAAAUAUUGAUCACUGA
RNAcentral lists this long non-coding RNA (424 nucleotides) under Amphibalanus amphitrite. RNAcentral's name for it is "uncharacterized LOC122368113". The record is from RNAcentral. Lineage: Eukaryota; Metazoa; Arthropoda; Thecostraca; Balanomorpha; Balanidae.